CGGCGGGCAUGGAACCGGCCGGCAUGGAAGUGGCCGGGAUGGGGAGAGCUGGGACAGAACCGACGGGGAUGGGGAUGGCGGCAAUGGAACCGGCCGGGCUGGAACCGGCCGGGCUGGGGACGGAGGGGAUAGAACCGGCGGGGACGGGAACAGCGGAGAUGGGGAUAGCGGGGAUAGAACAGGCGGGGACGGGAACAGCGGGGAUGGGGAUAGUGGGGAUAGAACCGGAGGGGAUGGGGACGGCGGGAAUGGAGCCGGCCGGAAUGGUGCCGCCGGAGAUGGAGCCGGCCCGCGAGGCGGAGGAGCCCCCGGGGUCCCCGGCCCUGCCCGCCGAGCCCGCGCAGGAUGGCCCGCCAGCCGCGGUGCCCCCGGGGCAAGGGGCGCUGCCCGCCGCGCCCGGCCGGGAGCGGGAUCAGGAGCGGGGCCGGCGCGGGGCCGACGCGCAGGGCUCGACCGGGCGGGCGGCGCGGGGCAGGGCCCGGCGGGCCUCGAGCCGCCGCAGCGGGGGCGAGAGCGCCAGGCGGGCCGGGGUCACGGUGGACAGCUCCAAGGCCAAGACCUCUCUGGAGGCCCUGAAAAUCAGCCUGCGGCAGCUCCGCUGGAAGGAGUUUCCAUUAGGCCGCCGCUUGCCGUGUGACAUCUAUUGGCACGGGGUAUCAUUUCACGAUAAUAACAUUUUCUCAGGGCAAGUCAACAAGUUUCCAGGCAUGACGGAGACCGUACGGAAGAUUACCCUGAGUCGGGCCAUGAGAACAAUGCAAAGUCUGUUUCCUGUGGAAUACGAUUUCUACCCUCAAUCCUGGAUUCUGCCAGAAGAACUUUCCCUCUUUGUGGAAGAGGUUCGUAUGAUGAAAGACAAUGAUCCAUCCUGGAAGCCUACUUUUAUUGUAAAGCCUGAUGGAGGCUGCCAGGGGGAUGGAAUCUACCUCAUCAAAGACCCAGGUGACAUCAGGCUGAUGGGGAGCAUCCAGAGCCGGCCAGCUGUGGUCCAGGAAUACAUUUGCAAACCAUUGCUCAUGGACAAACUGAAAUUUGAUAUUCGUCUCUAUGUCCUGCUGAAAUCCUUAGAACCCUUAGAGAUUUAUAUAGCCAAAGAUGGACUUUCUAGAUUUUGUACAGAGCCCUAUCAAGAACCCACUCUCAAAAAUUUGCACCAGGUUUUUAUGCACUUAACCAACUAUUCACUAAAUAUCCAUAGCGGGAAUUUCAUCCAUUCUGACAGUGUAAACACUGGCAGCAAGAGGACUUUUUCAAGCAUUCUGUGCAGACUGUCUUCCAGAGGAGCUGAUGUCAAAAAGCUCUGGUCAGAUAUAAUUUCAUUGGUGAUUAGAACAGUUAUUGCACUGACACCAGAACUGAAAGUUUACUAUCAGUCUGACAUACCAGCAGGAAAACCUGGGCCAACUUGUUUCCAGAUUUUAGGGUUUGACAUUCUCCUAAAGAAAAACUUGAAGCCCAUGUUACUGGAAGUAAAUGCAAACCCCAGCAUGAGAAUAGAACAUGAGCAAGAGCUUUCUCCUGGAGUAUUUGAAAACGUCCCAAGCCCUGUUGAUGAAGAAGUGAAAGUUGCUGUCAUCAGAGACACUCUGAGGCUGGUGGACCCUCAGAAAAAGAAGAGGAAAGAUACCCAGUGCCAGAGUUUGGAGCAGGCGCGGGAAGGGAGCCAGGAGCUGCCGGAGGCCGCUCUGCCCUCGCUGUGCCUCAAGCAGGUGUUCCCCAAGUACGCCAGUGAGUUCAGCUACCUGCGCCUCGUGGACAGGGUGGCCGCCUUGUUCAUCCGCUUCCUCGGGGUCAAGGGGACAACCAAGCUGGGGCCAACGGGAUUCCGCACGUUUAUAAGAAACUGCAGACUGAGUAACAGCAAUUUUUCAAUGGCUGCUGCAGAUAUCCUAUAUAUUGAUAUCACAAGGAGGUGGAACAGCAUGGGCAUUGAAAAGGAAUCAGGUAACCCAGGCUUGUGUGCAGCCUGAAUGUGCCCGGACUCGCUCAGUGAUUCCUCGUUCCAUUUGUGUUCUUUCUCUGCACCAGGCUGUUGCAGGUAAGUCUCCUAAAAUCUGCCCUGGGCUCUGGACACCCCUUGUCCUCUGUCCGCCACGCCCGUCCCUGCCGAAGGUUCUGGAAUAUUGCCCAGACCCCAGACGGAUCCCCUCGCUGGGCGCACACCUGUGGCUAUUUCCUUAAAAGGAAGGGCGGGGGCGGUGCCCCGCUAAUUACUCAGUUAAUGACCAGCUGGGAGACCCAAGUCCACCUGUACCCACUUGGUCUCCUCGGCGCGAGCUGCCCCCGUUGCCGGGCGGUGUCUCCCGGUUACGGGCUUUCCCCUCAGGGCCGCAGGAGGUCACGGCGGCCUUCUUGGGGACGGAGUUGCGGAGCCCUGGUGAUGAGGAGGAUCUCGUCUCGCUCCAGCCCGAGCCUGGCGGGGUACCGACUCCGCUCACGGAGUUACCCCCUCCUUGGGCCAAACUGAUGGGCACUGCUGGCACACCUCAGCCUGAGAGAGCACACUGGGUCUGUCCCUUUGCCCGCUGCAGAUGUCCUGAGUGGAUGAGAGAUGGUGUUGGGGCUUCAAAUUCCUGCUGAAAUAGCAGCAGUGAGGUGUCUACAUCUGCCCAGCUAUGCUUGACUUGUCUUGCUUUGCCCUCUGGUUGUUCCUCCAUAAGGGGAAAUUGAUAAAGUAUUUAUUUUUCUCUGGCUGUUUCCAUCUGCACUGCCUGGAGAGCAUCCUCCGGCUCACUUGGUUUGUUCCAGCAGGAUGAGGUUCCGAGCCUCCUGCUAUCCCUUCCCCAACCGCAUGCAGCCCAACUCGUGCUUUUCUCUCAGAUUAUUUCUGCUUUACUUACCUUCACUUCACCUUAAGCACACACACAAAAAAUCAUCAGCGCUACCCAGAUAAAUCCAUCUGGUCUCUGUCUCAGCCUCAUUUAACCUCCCAUUGAAGAGAUUGUAUCACAUGGUAUUCAGCUGGAACCUAUUACCUUGCAUGCCCAAGCAUAUCACAUUGAAUUACCCUGGCCCACAGGCCUGCGGUGUUUGCUAAUAGCUAAUGGCUGCUUUUAACUUAGAGGUGAUUUAUUCGAGCGCGUUUCUAUUCGCAGUGCAGCGGGGAGGGGGGGUGUGGCACUGUGUUAACCAGAGCUCAGCGAGUGAGCGCCGGCCGGCUCGGUGGGAUGGCUGAAGGCAGCCUGACUUCACAGCUCCGCCAGAUGCUGACGUUUCCCAGCAUUCCCGUUCCCCACCAUUCCCGUUCCUCACCGCUGUCCCAGAUGCAGCAACUGUUAGGGACUAGGAGUGGCUGCUCCUGGCUGCACGCAGCAAGAGAUGCGGGAGGGUCACAGUGCUCUGCCUGCCUGUUGUCACCAACCUGAAUGCCAGGGAACUUAUGGCACUUCCUUGCGCUCAGGAAUGUCCCGGGAAGGGGGCAGUGUCCCCACACGCUGUCCCCUACCCUCUGCCUCAACUGCUUCUGUGGGAGACCAAUGUUUUUUGCAGUUUUGACGGCAAAAUUAACUUCACUUGUGUUAUUGCUGAAUUUACUGCAGGUGUAGUGUAAAAUUGGUAUGAAAUUGCAGUAAAAGACAAAAUCGAAAGCCUGUUAUGGUGAUGUGAAGCAAUUUUCCCUCUUACUUUGCCUCAUCAGUGGAAAUACAAAAGCCCUUCUGCAGGUUAGGUUCAGAUACACUGGUGGACAAGUGGGAGUUUUGGUUGCAAACCCACUCCCUGAUUUGUGGUUUGCUGAGUCUUGGGCCUCAUGUUUGUCCUCUUGUCAGCCUCGAUCCCCCAGCACACAGCUCUCUGUGCUCAGGGGGUGAGGAGGGACCGUGGCUUCCAGGAGGAAGAGUGUAGCGACUGUAAUAAAUCAAAGUCAAUCAACUUGGGAGCUCUGUUAUUCAGGCUUCAUUCUUUGAUGAUGUAGCACAAAAAUCAAAUGGUUGAAGUUAUUCAAUUAUGGCUCAUACCACCAAUGGGGAGGUCUGAUCAUGUACACGGCCUGCAUCAAUAUUAUUUAUGUGUCGAGGAGCUGUGCUGGCUGUCAGGUGGGAAAUGGCAGAAAUCCUACAUGUGUCCAAGUUCUUCUCUCUCUUCCUCCCACCUUACUUAAUAACCAAGUAACCUGAUCUGCUGUCUGUCUAAGAUCAAUAAUAGCACAGGCACAUCAUAACAAGCUGGAAAACAUUUUUCCUGAGUGUCUCAGGACACUGCAGGUGCUGAGGUGAUGGUGGGGAAGGAGGUGCUGCCUGCCACAGGACACAAACCAUCUCCAUCCUGGCCUGGCUGCAGGCAGCACCGCUGGCCCUUCCUGCAGGAUGUGGAAGAGUGUGGGUAGUCAAUAGACGUGGAUAAAAUAAAGUUGUGAACAGCAGCAGGAGCUAAAAUAGCAACAUCAAUAGCAGUUUCCAGAUAAUGAUCAAAUUAGCACAAACAACAAGUUUCCACUAAUGACUCUUGUUCUUCCAGCUCCUUCCUUUCUGCUUGCUUGUCAUUAUUGACUCUCUGGCAGGGAGCGGCUGUGCUCCCGUCUCUGGGGCCAAGGCUUUGGAGGUUUGUUUACUGCCUGGCUUUGAAUUACUUCUCCAGAGGAUGUUUGCUCAGGAGCCUGGGCUGCCGUGCGUGGGAUGGCUGCGUGCAGAAGGUGGAGGGGGAGGAAAGUCAGCUGUUUGGCUUUUGUAGCUUUCAGGAAGCCUUGGGAAAGUUGUGCUCCUACUGCAUGUCCCUGUUGUAAAAAUAAGGAUGCUGACGUUCACCCACUGCAGUGGAGUGGGAGCUGGCUGCUUGUGAAGGGCUUGGGAAGCUGUGAGGGAAAGAUGCUUGUGAGGAGCAGAUUAGAGACUGUUGAGGAGCAGACCCAAGCUGUUUCUGUCCCUUCCCUCCCUAGGUAUGAGCCUCGUCUCUGCACCUCCCUGCCUCCCUCCCACUGAAACAAACAGGUUCUUCUGUGCUCUUAAGGCCUCAGUUUGACAAGUAUUGGCUAAAUGCUGUCACUUUCUCGGUUGUCAGUGGCCACUGUUCUGGCUGCUCAGUUGUGGUGGGCAGGAUUCUUGCAUUUGCCUGUUUUGAAGAUGCCCAGUUCUGACAUCUCCCAGCUGCCAGUUGCUGCUGUGGGACUUGGCUUUGCUAGGGCGACGGAGUGAGACCACGGCUGCACCACCUCAGCCUUGCCUGAGGUGCUUACUGGGCUGUACUGGAGAAGGUGCUGCCCAGCACCAGGAGCAGUUCAUGGGCCAGUGACUCUCACUAAACUCAGAACAAACUCUGUAAGGGUGCAAUUACUGGAACAUCAUUAUUGCUGAUGAGUCUUGUGCUAAAAUGACUCUCCAGAUUAAAAACCUCAAGCAAACGCAUCUGCGUUCCCCAGCCUCCCAGCCUCGUAUUCCUGUGGUUGUUCUGGCUGCUGAUCUGCAAUUCAGAGUCUCACUUCUCCCAGCCCUGCCCGUCUGCCGGGGCCCACUGGGAGCAGCUGCAGCCGGGCUCCGGAGCCGCAGAUGCUGAGAGCUGUCAAGUGCACAGAGAUGUUCUGGGUGUUUUUGGCUGAGAAUUCAGCUCUGCUCUAAUGAAGCCGAACAGCCGCUAAGGAGGUUUUAUUCAAGUCAAGGUGGUUUUGACUAAUCCCUCCUUGCAGCGUUUUCUGAGGUGCUCUGUGUUUCCAGGGCUGCAUUUUUCUUUCUCUCAACCUUCAAAGUCAACAGUGAUGAGGGGGAUGGCAGAGCCCUGAGGGAGGAUUUUGGCCUGGAUGGGUUUUGCCUUCCCUCCCUGGGCAGGUGCCGGUUCCUGAUAGGAACAGGAGGAGGGUUGUCCCAGCUGGGCGGCUCAAGCUGCUGGCAGCCAGCAGAGCCCAGUGCCCAGCCCGGCUCCAGUGCUGCUGAGCACAGGAAUAGCCACAGGUGCUCUCCACAUCCCGACUCAUUUCGAUGCAGCCAGCCUGUCUUACACCUCUCCCGGAGGAGCUAAUUAUGGUGAUGUUAAUGAGGCAGAGGUGCUGAUGCUGCCCAGGGUUUUAAUGACUUUCCUCCAAGUUUUCUGCUACUUUUACUGGAGGCAGAAGGGUGGUUUGUAAGGAGUGGUGGGGGCAGGAGCAGGCCUGACUGUCAGGCCCCCCGAGCACGUGAAAGGAAGGUGGUGGAGCCAGGUCAGGGCUAAAAUACUAUUGGGAGCAAAUUGCAAUGAUCUGUUUGGGGAGGCAGAUAAGACACGUUUGUGUGUGCAUGUGGCAUGUGCCAGGCUACUCUAAAAGCUGGAAAUGACUGAGUAGAGGUGCUGGAGCACUUACGUAAAAUAUCUAAAUAAAUCUUUAAUAUUUCUAAUUGCAAAUGUACAUAAAUUGCACAGCCACAUCAUUUCUUUGAACACCAACAACUUUCUCUGUACAUUAUUACAUAGUUUAAAAGGAGCUGAAGGAGAUUCAGCAAACACUUCCACUUUGCUUUUUUGUUUUUUAAACAUACUUACAAAAAAAGAUUUGUUUUUCUUUAUAAGAGGAUAUAAAACAUAGCGACUGCUUAUCAGGAACAAGUAUCAGCCUAAGCAGAUAUACAGAGAGAGGUAUAUCUUAAGACACAGUGAUGUAUGAUAAAGGAAUAUGUGAACAUGGAUGCUGCACUCUGGGGUACUGGUAGCUGAUGCAGAGCCACAUGGCAUUUACAGCAAUGUCACAGCUCAGGUGAUCUGUGAAAGUCAAUGCUUGAACGUGACACCCUUUUCCAAAGCAUGGUUGUUUCUGGAUGUUGUGCAACGCCCUCAGGAUUGGAUUUGGUUUGGAAAGCCCAUGAGCUGCAUGUUCUCAUGCUGCUGUUGUCCUCCUGCUCCCCCACGUGUGAUUUUCCCCAAGGGAGAAGGAAAAGGCAGCAGUUACCUGUGUGGGGUCAGAGCAGGGCAGGUGCCACUGUCUGAGCCUCCUGGCUGAGCGGUUUCCUCUGAAACGGCCCUGAGGCUCAGAGACCAGCUGGGGAUGGGCAGGGAGUGUCCCUUCUUGUGGCCACUGAAGGGAGCUUGUGGUGGCCAUGAGGCUGUGGCUCUGACCCAGACCAGGUCCCAGUCCUGGCCAGCCUGGAGGCCUGGAUUGCUUUGAAUGCAGACCUUUGGGAGGAAGUGACCCCAACAGUCAGUGCAGGUGGGAAGGACGGAGCGCCCACCCAGGGACAUUGUCACAGGUGUUCCCUUUGGACUUCGGCUUCGUGCUCUCCAGGCAAAGCUGUGUCUGAAGGACAGGGCAGGGACUGUGGUGGAGCUGCUGGACCCGCUGGUCACAGACUAUCAGAAAGGCCUCACCCCAGGGCUGCUCACCCUGUCCUGGGAUUGCUGGGGGAAAUGAGCCCCUCUCAGAUCAGACCCCUGGGCCACAGCCUGUGGCUCUCCUGGCUGAACACAUCAGUGUAUCUGCCAUCUGUGACUGAAAUUCCUCUCCUUGUCCAUCACAGAACAGAGCUCAGCACGUUUUCUAUUGCAUCUGUGUGUGGACAUUAGGAACAGGAAAACACCUAUGAGCUAUCUAAACUUUGGGAAUUAUUGAUUCCUUGCUGAUUGCUUUCCUAGGAGAGCCUGUGACACCUCACUGAGGU
Molecule: RNA transcript, 7553 nt
Organism: Corvus hawaiiensis (hawaiian crow)
Lineage: Eukaryota; Metazoa; Chordata; Aves; Passeriformes; Corvidae
Gene: TTLL11
Gene name: tubulin tyrosine ligase like 11
Exons: 10
Source: RefSeq, a predicted model, not a curated record